AUUGCCCUAGUAACGGCGAGUGAAGCGGCAACAGCUCAAAUUUGAAAUCUGGCGUCUUUGGCGUCCGAGUUGUAAUUUGCAGAGGGCGCUUUGGCAUUGGCAGCGGUCCAAGUUCCUUGGAACAGGACGUCACAGAGGGUGAGAAUCCCGUACGUGGUCGCUAGCCUUUACCGUGUAAAGCCCCUUCGACGAGUCGAGUUGUUUGGGAAUGCAGCUCUAAAUGGGAGGUAAAUUUCUUCUAAAGCUAAAUACUGGCCAGAGACCGAUAGCGCACAAGUAGAGUGAUCGAAAGAUGAAAAGCACUUUGGAAAGAGAGUUAAAAAGCACGUGAAAUUGUUGAAAGGGAAGCGCUUGCAGCCAGACUUGCCUGUAGUUGCUCAUCCGGGUUUUUACCCGGUGCACUCUUCUAUAGGCAGGCCAGCAUCAGUUUGGGCGGUUGGAUAAAGGUCUCUGUCAUGUACCUCCUUUCGGGGAGAACUUAUAGGGGAGACGACAUGCAACCAGCCUGGACUGAGGUCCGCGCAUCUGCUAGGAUGCUGGCGUAAUGGCUGUAAGCGGCCCGUCUUGAAACACGGACCAAGGAGUCUAACAUCUAUGCGAGUGUUUGGGUGUCAAGCCCGAGCGCGUAAUGAAAGUGAACGGAGGUGGGAACCUUUCGGGGUGCACCAUCGACCGAUCCUGAUGUCUUCGGAUGGAUUUGAGUAAGAGCAUAGCUGUUGGGACCCGAAAGAUGGUGAACUAUGCUUGAAUAGGGUGAAGCCAGAGGAAACUCUGGUGGAGGCUCGCAGCGGUUCUGACGUGCAAAUCGAUCGUCAAAUUUGGGCAUAGGGGCGAAAG
Molecule: ribosomal RNA, 837 nt
Filed under: Epicoccum plurivorum
Lineage: Eukaryota; Fungi; Ascomycota; Dothideomycetes; Pleosporales; Didymellaceae
Also listed under: 1 other name
Description: LSU rRNA
Rfam family: Eukaryotic large subunit ribosomal RNA
Source: RNAcentral